Molecule: ribosomal RNA, 443 nt
Filed under: uncultured bacterium
Lineage: Bacteria
Description: partial 16S ribosomal RNA
Rfam family: Bacterial small subunit ribosomal RNA
Source: RNAcentral
CCUACGGGUGGCAGCAGUGGGGAAUAUUGCACAAUGGGGGAAACCCUGAUGCAGCGACGCCGCGUGAAGGAAGAAGGCCUUCGGGUUGUAAACUUCUUUUGUCAGGGACGAAGCAAGUGACGGUACCUGACGAAUAAGCCACGGCUAACUCCGUGCCAGCAGCCGCGGUAAUACGUAGGUGGCAAGCGUUAUCCGGAUUUACUGGGUGUAAAGGGCGUGUAGGGGGGAGAGCAAGUCAGACGUGAAAUUCCAGGGCUCAACCCUGGAACUGCGUUUGAAACUGUUCUUCUUGAGUGAUGGAGAGGCAGGCGGAAUUCCGUGUGUAGCGGUGAAAUGCGUAGAUAUACGGAGGAACACCAGUGGCGAAGGCGGCCUGCUGGACAUUAACUGACGCUGAGGCGCGAAAGCGUGGGGAGCAAACAGGAUUAGAUACCCUUGUAGUC